ACUCCUACGGGAGGCAGCAGUGGGGAAUAUUGCACAAUGGGCGCAAGCCUGAUGCAGCCAUGCCGCGUGUGUGAAGAAGGCCCUUCGGGUUGUAAAGCACUUUCAGUUGUGAGGAAAGGUUAGAUCGCUAAUCAUCGGCUGAGCUGUGACGUUAGCAACAGAAGAAGCACCGGCUAACUCCGUGCCAGCAGCCGCGGUAAUACGGAGGGUGCGAGCGUUAAUCGGAAUUACUGGGCGUAAAGCGUGCGCAGGCGGUCUGUUAAGCGAGAUGUGAAAGCCCC
This 281-nucleotide ribosomal RNA is filed under the name uncultured bacterium. RNAcentral's name for it is "partial 16S ribosomal RNA". It matches the Rfam family "Bacterial small subunit ribosomal RNA", at positions 335 to 604 of the family's 1533-position model. The record is from RNAcentral.